GCGUAUACAGAUUACAGAACCGAACUUGUAUCAGUAACUUACCAACGACCAACGUCGAGCUCAAAUGAAGUACCCCUUUUUCCUUUUGUUUUGCAAAGAACAUUCCCUUUGCUGCAAAAAAAAAGGAGGAGAAAUAAUUGAUAAAUACUACACAGAUAUGACCAAAGUAGGAUUAUUCGGCAUCCUUCACUGCUGCUAAAGAAGUCAAAACUCUCACGAACAGUAGGUGUGAAACAAGUUAAGCAACCUAGACAUUAUCAAUAAAAUAAAAUGGUUAUCGAGUGUGAAACAUGACGCACAUCAAGAUGAAACCAUAAAGAAAUCACGCACCUUCAUCAAUCAUACAGUGCUUCUUCUUCUUUUUUUUCAAGGACUGGCACGAAGAGCUCGCACUUUCAUCAAAUACUAUAUGCUAACCCACCUAACUGCGACUUGUGCGAACCUGGAAAAUUUUAAUCAAAGAUAUCUAGUGGAAAGAGAUCUUCUGAACGGUUCUUUUCAAAAUUUUCCAUUCGAUGCCGGGCAGCCAUGGUUGACUGAACACAAGAGAAAGGAUGCGAGACAUAUUUGCACAUGACUGUAGCAGGCCUGCUGAAGCUGUGCUUCUUUUCGAACAGCAUUUGAUGUUGCUUUGGCUGGUCUUUCUAGGAAAUUGCCA
This 658-nucleotide long non-coding RNA is filed under the name Oryza sativa (Asian cultivated rice). RNAcentral describes it as "long non-coding RNA (OSAT_LNC001021)". The record is from RNAcentral. Lineage: Eukaryota; Viridiplantae; Streptophyta; Magnoliopsida; Poales; Poaceae.